AGCCACGCAAUGCACACAGAGCGAACUAUUCUUUCGCCUUUUACUAAAGAAUACCGUGUGUGCGUUCCACAUAGUGGCAUAUGCCAAUUUUUGGAGGGAUCCUCUUUGCUGAGGAUCC
Molecule: non-coding RNA, 118 nt
Organism: Capsicum annuum
Lineage: Eukaryota; Viridiplantae; Streptophyta; Magnoliopsida; Solanales; Solanaceae
Source: Rfam